UUCAGCUCCCUGUGAAACAUGAGCUUGAUCCAAAGUCCACAGCAGUUAAAUCAAGCCUUGUGCUAACAUGAAGAUGUUUUGGAUUCCUUUCCAACUACUCCUUAAGCUGCCACAACAGCUAGGAGAGAUGACCUGGGCAUUAGGAUUCUGCAGUGGUAACUGGAAAAGAAAACUCAGUCAUUAAGUCAUGAUAACCAACAGCAACAGUUUGUGACAACAGUUCUAAUCUUUCACACUCUGCUGAGAGGAGCAGGGGAACAAGGCACUGAAGAUUACCACCACAGCUGUAUUUUAGGAAGGCCAAGGAACAAGGAGUCUAAGCAGCAAUUCAGUUCUGUUUCUCUCUUCUCCUAUCAAGGAGAAGUGACCAGGUAUCCACCAUACUUCAGGAAAGUCUGGAAAGCAAGGACAACUUUGUUUUUUAUAAGAGGCCUCUGCCAGUGUACCAGAACCUGGACCUACAGUACCAUAUUAUGCUAUCCCCCUUCUUCCCGUGCCCGCCCCCCCCCCGCCGGAGGAGGAUUGUGAGAGAAGCUAAAGCACUGCCACCUUGACAUAAAUCUAAUGACUCUUCUCUCUCAGCAUCACAUUCAUUUGAGCUAGAGGAUAUGUUUAAAUGCAGUUGAAGAGACAGACAGAAAUAAGCUUCACAGAAGUAUAAAAUACAUGAAUCCUCCAUCAACAUCCAUCUAGCCCAAAUUUAGGGAAAAAAAAGUGCAAUAUAGUACAAAGUUUGCUUUUUGUAUAGAAGUUAGUGCUUGAAACUUAAUUUCUUGUACCUUUAGUUUAUAGAAAAAAUUCCAGUUCAAAAAGCCCACGUUUUAUUCUUUCAGUUAGCCACAAGAAAAGCUUGUAAUAUGGAAGAGAGCAGUGAACAGACAAAAGAUGCACCUUUGGUCAUUAUGCCCUAGAAUAACUUAAGAAAUGUCACUCAGGAUUGGUGCUGAGGCUCUGAACUGCAGUGGGGGAGUUAAAUCUCUUAUUGUUCUUCCUACUGUAAUAAAAAUACAGAAAGAGUGAAAGAAGCCUGAGAAAUCAACCGAGAAUAGAAGCAUUUGGCAAAAUCCAAGACCCACUUGCACUGGCAGCCUCUUGGUUAAUGCUUCCAGUGUCCAUGGGUAACUUUGGCCCUCCCCAUUGUCCAGUACAAGAUUGACAGAAUGCUCACAGAAUAGCACUUCACUACCAAAAAAAAAAAUGGAGAUAAGGAAUACAACAACUACGGUAAAUACAGUGUUUCACGUAACUUACCCAGCAACUUGCAAGUGUUGGCGAAAUGAUACAUCCAUAGGAUUAUAUCACUUGUAGAUCAAAACCAAAGAAUUUGGAGGGCAUUAAACUGCAUAAACUUGGCUUACAGAUAAAGUUAAACAGCACCUACUUUUACAGUGGAGGCAUUUAUAAUACUGUUUUCUAUUAAUUUCAAUACUCUGUAUUACACGACUAUUCCAACUUUUUUCUGUGUGUGUUAUUCAUCUGAACAAGAUCUCUUUUCACCAGAAGUAACGGAAAGUAUGGGAUUUAUUGCUAUAAUGAAGUUCUUUCAAAUCUCUGUUUUCUCUCUCUCUAAAGGACAGGAGGAUAGGCGUUCAUCUCAUCAGGCAGCUUAUUAGGAUUAGCACUGAAUAAGACACCACAGAAUGUCAAGCCUAUCAGUUACUAAACAUGCAUCAUACAAACUUUGUCUUUGCGAGAACCUCUGCUCUGCAUUUGUCAUCCACCUGAAUAAUUAACAAGUACAUGCUGCCUGCCAGCAGCUUAGGGAAUUAAUUUUCCCAGAUUAAAUGCAGAUCACGUCUGCAAAAAACUCAGACCACACACAUGCUGCACUACUACCUUUCAAACAUUAAAAGGCAAGGAAACAAGUUUUAUUAUGUUCACAGCUGAGUCUGACCUAAAAAUUUAUUUAUUAUAGAUAUGACUUCAUAAUCAUUAUGAAGUGGUCAGAGGGGUUUUAACACCCAACUAAUGCA
Phalacrocorax carbo (great cormorant) is the source of this 1973-nucleotide non-coding RNA. The record is from RefSeq and is a predicted model, not a curated record. NCBI's taxonomy places the organism in Eukaryota, Metazoa, Chordata, Aves, Suliformes, Phalacrocoracidae.